CACGUGGUUAGCCGGGGCUUCUUAGUCAGGUACUGUCACUUUCUUCCCUGCUGAUAGAGCUUUACAUACCGAGAUACUUCAUCGCUCACGCGGCGUCGCUGCAUCAGGGUUUCCCCCAUUGUGCAAUAUUCCCCACUGCUGCCUCCCGCAGGAGUCUGGGCCGUGUCUCAGUCCCAAUGUGGCCGGCCGCCCUCUCAGGCCGGCUACUGAUCGUCGCCUUGGGUCGGGCCGUUACCCCACCAACGAGCUAAUCAGACGCGGGCCCAUCCCAUACCACCGGAGUUUUCCCCAGGAAGCUAUGCAGCCUCCUGGGCGUAUGCGGUAUUAGCAGCCGUUUCCGGCUGUUACUCCCCCGGUAUGGGGCAGGUUGCCCACGCGUUACUCACCCGUCCGCCACUCAGACAUUACCGUCCUCCCGAAGGGAUCCCUGUAACCGCUUCGUUCGACUUGCAUGUGUUAGCACGCCGCCAGCGUUCAUCCUGAGCCAGGAUCAAACUCU
This 499-nucleotide ribosomal RNA is filed under the name uncultured Lachnospiraceae bacterium. Its description in RNAcentral is "partial 16S ribosomal RNA". The record is from RNAcentral. Lineage: Bacteria; Bacillati; Bacillota; Clostridia; Lachnospirales; Lachnospiraceae.